CUCCAAGUCAGUUAUGCUCUUUUCUCAUUCUUGUUGUUGUUUUCACAAAGAUACAAAGAAAAGAACGAAAGAUGGUGAUUGAGCAGGCACUGUGUUGAAGCCCCAGCCACCGAGACCUGAGAGGUCCUAUUUUACUCUGGGUCAUGGGCAGAGAGGAGAAACAGCUGGAAAGAUAAAGCCAGAACUAGGAAAAUGGCCAUAGAAGACCACGGUGAAACUCAUCAAAUAGAACACUUAAAAUAUGUGUAUUUCAUGUUAUGCUAAUUAUUCUGGAUUAACCUGAAUUUUAAAAAUUAAAUUUGAAAAAGGAAACAAA
Molecule: long non-coding RNA, 316 nt
Filed under: Equus asinus (donkey)
Lineage: Eukaryota; Metazoa; Chordata; Mammalia; Perissodactyla; Equidae
Description: lncRNA (ENSEASG00005031018.1)
Source: RNAcentral